GAGAAAGAGCACAAAAUCCCAUCACGUUUCAACAUUUUCCCAGCUGAAGGAAUGGCCAGCCAUGGUUGGGGUAGAUCCAGAAAUACAGAAUCAGCCAACCCAGUAUAUUCAUCUGGAAAUCCCUCACCCUGAAUGUCUCUAACUCCAACUGUGACUAAGCUGCUUACUCCUGUCCUCUCAAAAUCUUCCCUUGCUGAGGCAGCCCUUUGUUCAUGGAAAUCAAACGUAUAAACAUGUCCUGUAGGAGCCACAGCCCUUGCAAGUGAGGUCGUUAAAGAUCCACUACCAGUGCCAGACUCUAGUACCAAACAACCAGGAACUAUCUCCAAGUACAUAAUCACAAAGGAAAUAUCAGCAAUAUAGAGGAUCUGAGUNUGGUUUAAAACUAGAGUCCAUAGUUCAGGAGUUGGAGCUAACAAAUAGACAAAUCCACCCUUGUUGCUAAACACUUUGGACCCAAAAGGCUUUCCAAUCCAGUCUGAAUGUUUAAAUACACCAAAACGGUUCUGGAGCACUGAAGUCUCACAUACUCUAAUUGCCUUCAUUGUAUCAUGCUUCUCAUAGACGAUAACCAAAUCUCCAUCUCUUAUGCACCGUGUAAAUGAUAACUUUUUCGUUGAAUCAGUAAGCAACAUCUUUAAAUGUGGAACCUGCUGAUGUAGGGGUUGGUAGAAGCACAAU
This 681-nucleotide unclassified non-coding RNA is filed under the name Hevea brasiliensis (rubber tree). Lineage: Eukaryota; Viridiplantae; Streptophyta; Magnoliopsida; Malpighiales; Euphorbiaceae. The record is from RNAcentral.